This 1435-nucleotide unclassified non-coding RNA is filed under the name uncultured Neocallimastigales. Its description in RNAcentral is "partial contains small subunit ribosomal RNA, internal transcribed spacer 1, 5.8S ribosomal RNA, internal transcribed spacer 2, and large subunit ribosomal RNA". The stretch from base 658 to 1435 matches the Rfam family "Eukaryotic large subunit ribosomal RNA", at positions 1 to 628 of the family's 3401-position model. Lineage: Eukaryota; Fungi; Neocallimastigomycota; Neocallimastigomycetes; Neocallimastigales. The record is from RNAcentral.
UUUCCGUAGGUGAACCUGCGGAAGGAUCAUUAAAAAAUUGGACUCCAUUGGUGAGUUCAUUAAUAAUCCUACCCUUUGUGAAUUUGUUUGUUUGAAUAAUUUUUUUUCCAAAAAAAAUUAUUGAAUGUCUUUCCCUGUUUUGGUGGAGCUUGUAAAGUGAAACCAGGCAGGGGAAUGGCAAACGAUAAUUAUUUUUGAAAAAGACCUUUUUUUAAAAUUAAACUUUUUGUAUUCAUUUGUCUAAAAUUAUUUUUAUAAUAUAAAAACAACUUUUGACAAUGGAUCUCUUGGUUCUCGCAACGAUGAAGAACGCAGCAAAAUGCGAUAAGUAGUGUGAAUUGCAGAAUACGUGAAUCAUCGAAUCUUCGAACGCAUAUUGCACUUUUUUAGUUUACUAAAAAAGUAUGUCUGUUUGAGUAUCAGUAAAAUAUUCUCAUAAAAAAUUUAUUUUUUUAUGGUUAUGAGUGUUUUACAACGAUAACAAGUUGUUUCACUUUAAAUUCUUUGUUAUCAAAAAAAUCAUUAAAAGCUAAUUUUAAAGAUUUUUUAAAAUUGGAUAAAAUUUUCCCGUAAAAAGGAAUAACCUAAACAAUUUUAAAAAAAUUAAAAUUGGUUUGAUUUUUUUUGAUAACAAAGGAAAAAAAACGAAAAUUAACUUGAUCUCAAAUCAGAUAAGAGUACCCGCUGAACUUAAGCAUAUCAAUAAGCGGAGGAAAAGAAACUAACUAGGAUUCCCUCAGUAACGGCGAGUGAAGCGGGAAGAGCUCAAAUUUGAAAUCUCCAAGGUUUUACCUUGACGAAUUGUAGUUUAAAGAAGUGUUUUCUGUUGGAGUUUUGGUAAAAGUUCUUUGGAAAAGGACAUCAUAGAGGGUGAGAAUCCCGUAUUUGACCAUUAUCUCCAGCUUUGUGAUACACUUUCAAAGAGUCGGAUUGUUUGGGAAUGCAGUCCAAAAUGGGUGUAAAUUUCAUCUAAAGCUAAAUACUGGCGAGAGACCGAUAGCGAACAAGUACCGUGAGGGAAAGAUGAAAAGAACUUUGAAAAGAGAGUUAAACAGUACGUGAAGUUGUCAAAAGGGAAGCGUUUGACACCAGUGUUGUUUUCUCGAAAAUCAAUUAAAAAAGGCCGGAUUUUGUGUUGUAUUGACUUUAUCAGCUUUCUGCACUUUUUUCUUGUCUUUUUUAAUGCACUUUUCGUUUAACAAGUCAACAUCAAUUUCUUUUGUUGUAAAAGGGUCAUUGGAAGGUGGCUUUCUUUUCGGAGAAAGUGUUUUUUAGCCUUUGGCCUCUGCAAUCGGAGAGAUUGAGGUCUGCAGCGUAGAUCCUUCGGGGUUAGAUACAUUUGUGCUAAGUUAUAGCCUUUCAUAGACAACUUGUUGACUAUGAUCAGUCAUGUAGCUUACUCGCUUAUGCUAUUUUACCUACGCUUAGGAUGUUG